Molecule: RNA transcript, 1102 nt
Organism: Mus pahari (shrew mouse)
Lineage: Eukaryota; Metazoa; Chordata; Mammalia; Rodentia; Muridae
Gene name: metaxin-1 pseudogene
Exons: 3
Source: RefSeq, a predicted model, not a curated record
GUAUGCAAGAUGGCAGCACCUAUGGAGCUAUUCUGCUGGUCAGGGGACUGGGGACUGCGGUCAGUGGACCUGGAUAGUCUGGCCAUGCUGAACUAUACCAGAUUUACAGGUGCUCCACUGAAGGUACACAAGAUCAGCAAUCAUUGGCAGAGCCCUUCAGGAACUCUGGCUGCUCUUCAAACCAGUAAUGGAGAAGUCAUCACAGAACCAUACAAGCUCAUCACCCAUCUUCGUAAAGAGAAGAACAAUGCUGUCUAUGACCUGUCAGCCUGACAAGAACAGAUGCUCCAGCCUUCAUGUCUCUGUUGGAGGAGAAACUACUUCCUGUGCUAAUCCAUACUUUUUGGAUAGAUGCCAAGAACUAUGUGGAAGUGACCCGAAACUGGUAUGCAGAGGCUAUGUCCUUUCCCCUCAACUUCUUCCUGCUUGGCCACAUGCAACCAGUACAUGGAGCGCCUGCAGCUGCUGUGUGGUGAGCACAAAUCAGAGAGCGAGGAGGAACUAGAAAAAGAGCUGUAUCACUCAGGAGUGCCUAACCCUUCUCUCUCAGCGUCUAGGCUCUCAGAAGUUCUUCUUUAGAGAUGCCCCUGCCUCCCUAGAUGCCUUUGCUUUUAGCCAUUUGGUUCUGCUGCUCAGUGGGAGUCCCCACCUCCAGGGCUGCAAAACCUGUGUCCACUGUAUCCACAUCCUCAACUUCUAUUUUCUUUGGAAUGGAGCUGAGGUGCCACCUCCACGCCAGACACCAGCAGGUCCCGAGACCGAAGAGGAGCCAUACUGGCAUCGGACCCAGAUUCUCUCUGUACUGGCAGCCAUGGUGGGCUUUGCUCAGUGGACUGUUAAAAGAGUAUCCAGCAUUCCGGAGCUGCCCCGAGCUGCCACCUUGUGCUGUAAAGGAGGACCCGGACUUCGAGAUAAGCUGCCUGGCGUUCCGGAGCAGCAGCAGCAGCACUCUGAGAUAAAUCACAAGAGUUUCAAACCUGCGAUCAGCAUCCCCUCAUUUGUCCUUCGCUCUCUCAGUGGCAUUGUUUCUAUCCAGUGGACAAGCCCUGCUCAGGCCCCAGUCACCCAGGCCUUGGGCCUGGCUGAGGAUGAAAAGGACUGA